Molecule: ribosomal RNA, 497 nt
Filed under: uncultured bacterium
Lineage: Bacteria
Description: partial 16S ribosomal RNA
Rfam family: Bacterial small subunit ribosomal RNA
Source: RNAcentral
GAUGAACGCUGGCGGCGUGCCUAAUACAUGCAAGUCGAGCGAACGGACGAGAAGCUUGCUUCUCUGAUGUUAGCGGCGGACGGGUGAGUAGCACGUGGAUAACCUACCUAUAAGACUGGGAUAACUUCGGGAAACCGGAGCUAAUACCGGAUAAUAUUUUGAACCGCAGGGUUCAAAAGUGAAAGACGGUCUUGCUGUCACUUAUAGAUGGAUCCGCGCUGCAUUAGCUAGUUGGUAAGGUAAAGGCUUACCAAGGCAACGAUGCAUAGCCGACCGGAGAGGGGGAUCGGCCACACUGGAACUGAGACACGGUCCAGACUCCUACGGGAGGCAGCAGUAGGGAAUCUUCCGCAAUGGGCGAAAGCCUGACGGAGCAACGCCGCGUGAGUGAUGAAGGUCUUCGGAUCGUAAAACUCUGUUAUUAGUGAAGAACAUAUGUGUAAGUAACUGUGCACAUCUUGACGGUACCUAAUCAGAAAGCCACGGCUAACUACGUG